GGUAGUGAAACUUCCGAUAAGGGUAAGGAGAUUAUACCCGAAGACUGAGACUAGGAGUACUUCGAACUCCCGAUAUUGUGAGUAACUUUAUUAUCGUCUUAAUUAUCUAAAGUAGUUUUUAUUCAUUUUUGUGAUUUUAUAGAAAAAUGAGUUUAAAUGGUAAAUCUUUAUGUUUUAUAAGUAAAAUGUGAUUAAAUGAAAUGAGUUUAUAAAUCAUUUUGAAAUUGAAUCAUGAUUUUAGAAAUUGAGUAAUUAGAGACUAUUUGAUUGUGUUGUAAAUUUAUGGUUUAAAUUGAAUGGCUUAUGGUGAUAUUGGCAUGAAUGGCUGAAUUGGAAAUUGUGUUGAAAUUGUAUGAACUGUUUGUUUUGCCUUAACAGGCUGGGUAAUAAUAUAAUUGCCAUGUCAUGCUGUCGAAACUUUUAUUGAUUUGGUGGGAUAUUGAUUAGUCACUGCAGUGGUGGGUUUCCGUGGACCAGCCUAUUAGAGAGGGGCACAGUAAACACGGUUAUAUUUUACUUCGGUACGAGAGGCGCGGAGGGUAUCUCUUGAGGUAAAGCUUUAGAGUUCACUACACGCUAAACCACCACGUGAGGGUGAACUCAGCCAACGCCAAGGAAUGGCUAUGCUUCUAAACGUAAAAAAAAAAAUGUGUUUUAUGCGCAUAUGAACUUUUCUUUAACAGCCUUGGCGGACUCAGUUAGAUGCCUCGGUCAAGGUAUCCCUAAGAAUAAGU
This 734-nucleotide long non-coding RNA is filed under the name Theobroma cacao (cacao). RNAcentral describes it as "long non-coding RNA (TCAC_LNC000945)". The record is from RNAcentral. Lineage: Eukaryota; Viridiplantae; Streptophyta; Magnoliopsida; Malvales; Malvaceae.